This 435-nucleotide ribosomal RNA is filed under the name uncultured Alphaproteobacteria bacterium. RNAcentral describes it as "bacterial SSU rRNA". It matches the Rfam family "Bacterial small subunit ribosomal RNA", at positions 29 to 507 of the family's 1533-position model. Lineage: Bacteria; Pseudomonadati; Pseudomonadota; Alphaproteobacteria. The record is from RNAcentral.
AGCGAACGCUGGCGGCAGGCUUAACACAUGCAAGUCGAGCGCCCGUAGCAAUACGGGAGCGGCAGACGGGUGAGUAACACGUGGGAACGUACCCUUCGGUUCGGAACAACCCAGGGAAACUUGGGCUAAUACCGGAUACGUCCGUAAGGAGAAAGAUUUAUCGCCGAAGGAUCGGCCCGCGUCUGAUUAGCUAGUUGGUGAGGUAACGGCUCACCAAGGCGACGAUCAGUAGCUGGUCUGAGAGGAUGAUCAGCCACACUGGGACUGAGACACGGCCCAGACUCCUACGGGAGGCAGCAGUGGGGAAUCUUGGACAAUGGGCGCAAGCCUGAUCCAGCCAUGCCGCGUGGGUGAUGAGGGCCCUAGGGUUGUAAAGCCCUUUCGGCGGGGAAGAUAAUGACGGUACCCGCAGAAGAAGCCCCGGCUAACUUCGUG